GCGGGUGUGGCGGAAUUGGCAGACGCACUAGACUUAGGAUCUCCAGCGCCGCAAGGCGUGGGGGUUCGACUCCCUUCACCCGCA
Molecule: transfer RNA, 84 nt
Filed under: Mammaliicoccus sciuri
Lineage: Bacteria; Bacillati; Bacillota; Bacilli; Caryophanales; Staphylococcaceae
Description: tRNA-Leu
Rfam family: tRNA
About the family: Transfer RNA (tRNA) molecules are approximately 80 nucleotides in length.
Source: RNAcentral